AUGAACGCUAGCGGCAGGCUUAACACAUGCAAGUCGAGGGGCAGCACGGGUAGCAAUACCUGGUGGCGACCGGCGCAAGGGUGCGUAACGCGUGAGCAACAUGCCCUAUACAGGGGGAUAAUCCAGGGAAACUUGGUCUAAUAUCCCAUAGUAUUUAGAGGAGGCAUCUUCUAUAAAUUAAAGCUUCGGUGGUAUAGGAUUGGCUCGCGUGACAUUAGCUAGAUGGUGAGGUAACGGCUCACCAUGGCAAUGAUGUCUAGGGGUUCUGAGAGGAAGGCCCCCCACACUGGGACUGAGACACGGACCAGACUCCUACGGGAGGCAGCAGUGAGGAAUAUUGGUCAAUGGGCGCAAGCCUGAACCAGCCAUCCCGCGUGCAGGAAGACGGCCCUAUGGGUUGUAAACUGCUUUUCCAGGGAGAGAAACUUACGCACGUGUUGCGUGACUGACGGUACCCUGGGAAUAAGCAUCGGCUAACUCCGUG
Molecule: ribosomal RNA, 484 nt
Filed under: uncultured bacterium
Lineage: Bacteria
Description: bacterial SSU rRNA
Rfam family: Bacterial small subunit ribosomal RNA
Source: RNAcentral